UACGAAGGGGGCUAGCGUUGUUCGGAUUUACUGGGCGUAAAGCGCGUGUAGGCGGACCUGUAAGUUGGGGGUGAAAGCCCGGAGCUCAACUCCGGAAUUGCCUUCAAGACUGCGGGUCUGGACUCAAGGAGAGGCGAGUGGAAUUGCGAGUGUAGAGGUGAAAUUCGUAGAUAUUCGCAGGAACACCAGUGGCGAAGGCGACUCGCUGGACUUG
Molecule: ribosomal RNA, 214 nt
Filed under: uncultured prokaryote
Description: partial 16S ribosomal RNA
Rfam family: Bacterial small subunit ribosomal RNA
Source: RNAcentral